UCCAGACUCCUACGGGAGGCAGCAGUGGGGGAUAUUGGACAAUGGGGGGAACCCUGAUCCAGCGACGCCGCGUGAGUGAAGAAGUAUUUCGGUAUGUAAAGCUCUGUCAGCAGGGAAGAAAGAAAUGACGGUACCUGACCAAGAAGCCCCGGCUAACUACGUGCCAGCAGCCGCGGUAAUACGUAGGGGGCAAGCGUUAUCCGGAAUUACUGGGUGUAAAGGGAGCGUAGACGGUUAUGUAAGUCUGGAGUGAAAGCCCGGGGCCCAACCCCGGGACUGCUUUGGAAACUGUGUAACUGGAGUACAGGAGGGGCAGGCGGAAUUCCUGGUGUAGCGGUGAAAUGCGUAGAUAUCAGGAGGAACACCGGCGGCGAAGGCGGCCUGCUGGACUGAAACUGACGUUGAGGCUCGAAAGCGUGGGGAGCAAACAGGAUUAGAUACCCGGGUA
Molecule: ribosomal RNA, 448 nt
Filed under: uncultured bacterium
Lineage: Bacteria
Description: bacterial SSU rRNA
Rfam family: Bacterial small subunit ribosomal RNA
Source: RNAcentral